CACACUCAUUGCGGCUGCAAUUCUGGUCACAUUCUUGAAGUUUCAACCAGAACAGUACAUAUCAUUCUCAAAACGAUUUUUUGAACUUUAUCACCAGUACUUUGAUGAGCGUGAAGUGAAAAGAUGCUUCUGAUGGUCAUUUCAUACCAGAAGAGGUUUUUGCUCGUCCCAGAAAACCAAGACUGGUAAGAGACAUACCGGAUGGUAGAAGAAGGAAAGGAAAGGAACUAAUGUACCCGGAGUUUUCUGUUGGUGACACGAGUGAGAAGUGGGAAAAGUGGGAAGGAUAUGACAUCGGUUACGUGUGUGAGAAGUUUACAGAAUUCGAUGAUGAUUGGCUGGAAGUCUGGAACCCCCUGGAUUACCCCCUGAUUCCCCCUCUUCCCCUGAUUCCCCUUGAAUAGUUUCAUGGAACCACGAGCUCAUCCUGUUAUAAACUGUGGUGCAUACUAGAAUCUGAGGCAAAGUAAGUACCUAAUCUAUGCUCAAAAGAAAAAGUAAGUACCUAAUCUGAAUAGCCACUACAACAGUAGAUCAGUUGCUGCAUGAUAUUGUUAAUGAUUGUUUGAUGAUGCAAUUGCAUGUGAUUACGAGAUAUGCUUUAAAGACAUUAGUAUAUAGCGUUAUUGAUUAGGAACCGUAGUUGGAAUAUGUGAUCGAGUGUGCUUUUAUGAU
Long non-coding RNA from Erigeron canadensis, 675 nucleotides. RefSeq lists it as uncharacterized. NCBI's taxonomy places the organism in Eukaryota, Viridiplantae, Streptophyta, Magnoliopsida, Asterales, Asteraceae. The record is from RefSeq and is a predicted model, not a curated record. The transcript has 3 exons.